UUAAGGUAAAAAAAUCAAACAUUUUUGUAAAAAAAUUUUAGAAAAAUUUAUUUCUUAUUACAUAUAUGUGAAUACUUUAUUAUUUAAAUGACUUGUGGUAAAAGUUAACUUAUUUAUUGUCGGCGACGGCUUCACUAUAAUCUGAAUACGACGUGUUAGUGUUUGACUGUACUGACACAUUAUUCAUCUCAAAAGAAACUGUUGCCAUCGAAAUAUUCUUGCUCGACACGUACUAAGGCAUUUUGAAUACGUGGCCGCAAACUAUAUGCCAUCGUGCUCACUAUUGAAAAAUCGACGCUUAGUACACAACAGGGUCAGAAUGACUCUGCACCGACUUCGAAUAAUGCCCAACACCUAUUAGGUGCUGCGCUGUACAAAAGGAGCAUAUUAACAUAUACCCACACAGCACAUGAUAUCAUUCGUAUAUACUGAAUUGACACUGAAUAUACUGUAGAUAUCCAAGAUAUACUAAUAAUAACCAUAUAAUAUAUCUUGUAGUAUAUUAUUUUUCCAAUAUUCUCAGAAUAUAAGACAUUCAUCAAUAAUAUUGAGUCUAUUUAGCGGAUAUUCUCAGGAUAUACUAAAAUUAUCAGUAAUCCUAGACAACACGCAUGUCUAAAAGACGUCUUUAUGACGUCUUAAAAUCUUAUUUUAUACGUCUCUCUUAAGACGUCUAAAAUACAUCUUUUUUUAAAACAUCUUAUUUGAGACGCCAUUUAGAUGUCUUUAAAAUUUUUAAUAAAAUUUACGACGUCUUAGAAAGACGUCUUUAAGACGUCGAAUGACGCGCAUAACCAAAUCUGCCGUGUGAUACGAUCAAGUCGAUCGACGUGCUUAUCCCAUUCCCGUAUCAAUUUUUUGAACUCUCGCACGUACAUGUGUUGAGACGUUUUGUCCCGGUUUUCUGUGUAACGCAGUCGAGUGUGGAUGCAUUAAUCUAACACAAUUUUUUAACUCUCGCACGUGUAUCACGUGUGUGGACGGGCUGUACUGGAAAUAAAAUCUCCCAGCUAACCUUAGAUAUUCCUAAAAUAUUCGUGGAAAAAUACACGUGGGAUACUGUUUAUUAAGUUUGCAGCAAGAUUCGACCUCUUUCCGUAAGUAAAUUUAUUCAUAUUUUCAUUUAUGUAUAUCCUAUAUAUACCUAUAAAACAUAUAUAAUGCAUCCUACCACGCACAUACACACACGUACACAUAUACAUUGAGUAUUAUUAUUGUUGAUAUGAAUUAUUUACGGGAAGAAGUAAACUUAGAAUAAGAUGCUUCUAACAUCAAUACUAUUAAAUUUCCCGUCAAUUUAAAAGAUAAAAUUUUUUUGGUUAGGUGCUGGGUGCCAGUUGCCUGCUCGAUGACAUUGUGUGGUCAAUGCCGACUCGCGCCUUUGUUUCCAAUCCAGGACGCUUCGCACCUGUAUGAUUGUGACGUGAAAAUCCUGUUUAAGCUCCAUGGUGUGCUCCCGGAUACAUUGACCGGACACCGCAAUAGAUUCUCAAAGCAAUUCCACGAAUCAAAGAGUUUUUACAAUACAGUUAAACAUAUGCGGUAUUCUAAACAUUUGAUAACAAUUCCGUCAUUACCCGAGAAGCCACCUAACUUUUUAAUAUAAACUGAGUUAAUGUUACACCGAUAGUGGUACUUCCGCCGAAGGCAUCUAUUGAUUCGAUAGUGGUACUUCCGCCGAAGGCAUCUAUUGAUUCGAUAGUGGUACUUCCGCCGAAGGCAUCUAUUGAUUCCGAGACUGCCAUAGAUAAUCUUAUCGAUACAUCUGAUACAGAAUCAUUAACAGGCGAUCAGUUGGAUUCUGUAAAUACACGAAAUGACUAUAUCACCUGAUGCUCUUACACAAAGAGACAGCUUUAUUGAUCGCUCAAUUGUAUCAAGAAAAUGUUCUUCAAAGACGUAAAUAAUUUGUUAAUGGAUCAUCAACAAAUCAUCAACAAAUAGUUGCAGAUAAUGCAAUAUGAAACGCAACAGAUGAUCAAAUCUCAGCCCCGAUAAAGAUAUGGUUGGUCCAUGCAAAAGAACGCGCCGGAAAAGAAAAAA
Monomorium pharaonis (pharaoh ant) is the source of this 2043-nucleotide long non-coding RNA. RefSeq lists it as uncharacterized. Lineage: Eukaryota; Metazoa; Arthropoda; Insecta; Hymenoptera; Formicidae. The transcript has 3 exons. The record is from RefSeq and is a predicted model, not a curated record.